CAUUGACUGGAGCUUUGAUUGGCCAGGAGACGGAGAGUGGAUUUGUCAGAGGUGCUGCAGUUGGUGCCAUCUCUGGUGCUGUUUUCUCUCUCGAAGUCUUUGAGUCAUCUCUGUUACUAUGGCAGUCGGAUGAAUCUGGAAUAACAUGUCUUGUUUACUUGAUUGAUGUACUCACAAGCCUGUUAAGUGGUCGAUUGGUUCGUGAGAGGAUUGGCCCAGCAAUGCUAAGUGCAGUCCAGAGUCAGAUGGGAGCUGUUGAACUUGCAUAUGACGAGGUCCCUAACAUUUUUGAUACGGGUGUGGCUAAAGGCUUGCAUGGAGAUUCGGUUGAAAAGAUCCCCAAGAUUGUAAUCACAAAAGGUAACAACUUGGAUGGUUCUGGAGAGAGAGUCUCUUGUUCCGUCUGCCUUCAGGACUUUCAACUUGGAGAAACUGUUAGAUGUUUGCCACAAUGUCAUCACAUGUUUCACUUGCCAUGCAUCGACACAUGGCUGUUGAGACAUGGCUCUUGCCCAAUGUGCAGAAGGGAUCUGUAAUUGCUCCAUAAACUAUAACAAGGUUAAAUAAGUUCUUCAUACUUGCUUGUAUGGUUUCCUUAGUAGUCUUUCUUCACUUGCCCAAAUUUUCAAGGAAACCUGUGUAUUUAGUGGCAAGUAUGUGCUUUUUCGAGUUUGGUUGUUGUAGACUAUAACUUACCUGUAAAUUGAGCUAUAAUAG
This 717-nucleotide unclassified non-coding RNA is filed under the name Hevea brasiliensis (rubber tree). Lineage: Eukaryota; Viridiplantae; Streptophyta; Magnoliopsida; Malpighiales; Euphorbiaceae. The record is from RNAcentral.